GCAGCGUGUAGUGGUGAAGGUCUCUGCGAUCCUUGCCUUUUUGUCGUUUCUGGAAGUAGUUUUGGGGGCCAUGGAUUGCUGCUUAUUGGUGAGAUUUGGUUGAGAUAGUUUUAUUUGGUGUAUAUAUGGUCAUCAUGAACAGUUCAUUAGCAUUAGUGCAUAUGGGUUAUUGUUCUUCAACUGAUGUUAAAUAGUGAAAACAUUUCUGCUCCUCUAGUGAUUCUUUAAAUUUGUAAACUUUGGUGUGAUGUGGAUCGUGUUGCAGAACUUUGAUGAUGAUGAUCCCAAUUUUAAUCCAUUAUGUAAGAGGUGGCCUUGUUUGGGUUUUAUAUCUAGUAUCCUAUGCUUUUUCAUGUGUUAAGAAAGGACAUUUACAAGUGGAAAAUCAAUUGGAUCUCCACGUUUUCCAAUACGUGAUCUAAAUAUACCCAACCGAAACUGAAAAGGACAGCUGGUGUAGUUUCUGGAAGUUUGUAUGUAACAUUUCAUAUACUACUACUAUACCUUAAAUAGUUAACGCACGCAUAUUUAUAACAGAUAAAAAAUAUCUACGUGAAAAUUAAACUUUAGUAUGAAGGAGCGUAGUACGGAAUGCAAGUUUAAAAUACUUCGAGAUGAUCUCAUUUGUGACAUAAUAUGUGGACUUAAUGAUAACCGUCUUCAUGAACUUCUUAGAGAACCAGAAUCAGCACUACAGAAAACUGCACAAAUUGGACAUGCUGCUGAAAAAACGAAGAGACAUACGAAGGAACUUCAAAAGGAAAUUAAAAGACAAAGAAUAUAUUGACAGUAUACAGAAAAGAAAAUUCACGAGAAACGAAAAGAAAAACAUUGGCAGAGAAUCAUUCAGUUAUGAUAAAUCCCUACUAAAAGACUGUAAAUUUUAUUCUUACACUCACAAGCGAGGGAAAUGCAAGACUUAUGGAAAAAAAUGCACGAAGUGCUUUAAGCUGAAUCAUUUUGCAUGGUAUUGCCAAGAUAAAUGCAAGACGAUCAACAAUUUCCAUCGCCGCUAUAGUGAAUUUGCAGGAUAUGAUGUCAGUUCCUUUGAUUUGCAUUUAAUAUAGACGACGAGUUUUUUGAAAAUAGACAUGUUUCGACAUCUCAUGAUGCCAUCUUCAGUAUGAGUGAAUAAAUAAAUAAAUACAGGAUUACUGAAAGUAUUAUGAUACAGUAACAAUGAGAGAUAUAAAUUUGUAUAAGUUAUAAGAAUAAUGAGGAAAUGAGAUAAAUUAAUGGAGAGCGUGUUACAAACUAAA
This is a long non-coding RNA of Xenia sp. Carnegie-2017, 1259 nucleotides long. RefSeq lists it as uncharacterized. The transcript is spliced from 2 exons. The record is from RefSeq and is a predicted model, not a curated record. Lineage: Eukaryota; Metazoa; Cnidaria; Anthozoa; Malacalcyonacea; Xeniidae.